AUGACGAAAAGGAACAGAAACUAUUACCUAAUGCCAGAUGAAGAAGACCCGGUAAGACCAGUUCCAAACAAGAUCGGAAAAGUGAUGUUUCUCACAGCAGUUGCAAGGCCCAAAUACGACGCUGAAGGGAAUAUCACAUUCUCAGGAAAGAUUGGGGUUUGGCCUUUCGUCACAACAGUUGCGGCACAAAGAAGGAGUGAAAAUAGAGAACGAGGAGUCAUGGAAUUCAAGUCACUCAUGGUGAACAGAGAAGUCAUGAGACGAUACAUGAUUGAGAAAGUUGUUCCUGCAAUAAAAGAUGUGUGGCCCUUUGAAGAUGUUGGACAAACAGUCUUCAUCCAACAAGACAAUGCAAGGACACAUAUUUUACCUAAUGAUGUUGGGUUCACAGAAGCAGUGGCUGAGACUGGAAUGGACAUCAAACUAAUGCAACAACCCCCAAAUUCUCCUGACUUGAAUGCUCUUGACCUUGGGUAUUUCAGAUCCCUAGAGUCUCUAACGGACUGCAGAGCCCCUACCACCAUCCCCGAACUAAUUCAAGGGGUACAGGAAGAAUUCAAUGACUAA
RNAcentral lists this ribosomal RNA (567 nucleotides) under Triticum aestivum (bread wheat). Its description in RNAcentral is "partial small subunit ribosomal RNA". The record is from RNAcentral. Lineage: Eukaryota; Viridiplantae; Streptophyta; Magnoliopsida; Poales; Poaceae.